RNAcentral lists this ribosomal RNA (397 nucleotides) under Belostoma estevezae. Its description in RNAcentral is "partial 28S ribosomal RNA". It matches the Rfam family "Eukaryotic large subunit ribosomal RNA", at positions 757 to 1141 of the family's 3401-position model. Lineage: Eukaryota; Metazoa; Arthropoda; Insecta; Hemiptera; Belostomatidae. The record is from RNAcentral.
ACUCCCGGGGCGUUCCCGUCUCCGUCAAACGAGUCGGAGCGCACCCAGAGCGCACACGUUAGUACCCGAAAGAUGGUGAACUAUGCCCGGCCAGGACGAAGCCAGGGGAAACCCUGGUGGAGGUCCGUAGCGAUUCUGACGUGCAAAUCGAUCGUCGGAGCUGGGUAUAGGGGCGAAAGACUAAUCGAACCGUCUAGUAGCUGGUUCCUUCCGAAGUUUCCCUCAGGAUAGCUGGUGCCCAGGUGAGACGAGUCUCAUCCUGUAAAGCGAAUGAUUAAGGCAUUGGGGGUCGAAACGACCUCAACCUAUUCUCAAACUUUAAAUAGAUGAGAACUCCGGCUUGCUCGAAAAGUGAAGCCGGAGAUUCGGAUCAGGUGCCCAGUGGGCCAAUUUUGGU